CUGUAGAAGCCCGGACAGAAACUUUCUGUUGGAGAAAUCUGGCUGGAGUCCGAUUGCUAGAGAAGUUUGUUUGAAAUUUAUCUGAUGUAGAAGAUUGUCUGAAGAUUGUCUGAAGAUUGUCCGUUGGAGAGGUUCGGUUGCAUGAGGAAUCCGACAGAAGGUCGAUCGAUAGCGAAAUUCGGAAGGCGCUAUAGAAGGUUGACCGACAGAAGAGUCCAGAAGGCUUUAUGGAAGUUCAUCUGCUGGAGGAGUCUGGUUGGCAUUGUUGAAGUCCGAUUGGUACUGUUGAAGAUUGAUGGCUGGAGAGGUAUGGAAGACACCAGAGACAAUCGAUCACCAUAGAAAUCUGACUGUUGGAGCCCAUCCGUUGUAGAAGUUCGUCUGGAAUCCAAUUCUGUUGUAGAAGUUCGGAUGGAGUCCGAUUCUUGUAGGAGUCCGGAAGGAGGCUGCUUGCUGUAGAAGUUCGGAUGGAGAUCGGUUGCCGUGGAAGCCCGGAUGGAGACCGCUUAUUGUAGAAGCUCGGACGAAGUCCACUUAUCGUAGAAACUCAGAUGAAGUCCGCUUGCAAUAGAGGUUCGGACGGAAUUCGCUUACUAUAGAAGCUCGGAUGAAAUUUGAAAGGCGAUCAACCACUGUAGAAACUUGGAUGGAGUCUGGUUACUAUAGAAGUCCUACUGCUGGAGAAGCUCGGACAUUGACGAAGUCCGAAAGAAGCUCGGAGUAAAGUCGAUCGUGACAAGA
Molecule: long non-coding RNA, 741 nt
Filed under: Elaeis guineensis (African oil palm)
Lineage: Eukaryota; Viridiplantae; Streptophyta; Magnoliopsida; Arecales; Arecaceae
Description: long non-coding RNA (EGUI_LNC045246)
Source: RNAcentral